UAUAAGGGUGGCAGAAGUGCAGAAGACUAAAUGUACAGCCUUAAUGGCUCCUCAAUGUCAAAGAAAAUUCCCUGAUGGGAAAAAAGUGGGACCUUGAGACUUUGGAUGGUGACCUUUGCCUGGCUGAGACUGAGAAUGUUGGAUCCCAAAUGGCCUGAAGCUUCCUGUCUGGCAGAAGCUGUCUCCAGCAACUUAAAGAGAUCAACCUCCCCUUCCCCGGGGAUUACAUCAUGACCUCACAGACGAGAUGCUCCACAGCUGACCAUUGUUUUUCUCAAGAUCUGUCCCCAUCACCCCUCGUUGUCUCCUGGCUAAUGACCAGAGUUAGGUCUGAGCACAGCUUCGGUGGGGAAGUACACUCCCUGCUCCAAGAGAAAACAAUCUAUGUGUCAGAGGACUUAUAGGAACUGACAAAUGUCUAUCAGCAAAGACAUGUUGGGGUGGAUCUUGAGAGUGUUAGAUUGUCAUGGUCACCUAGAGCUGGUCUUAAAAGUCUGUUGGAGUGACUCUUUGACAUUUACACGGGAUCAUGGUCUCCAAUUGAUAAGGCAGAGAUGACAGGCUAUGAGAAAGGAAAAUCUAUAGUGGUUGCCUUCAUAUGUGAAGAACAGCAGUAUACAUUCACUGUCUACAUGUCUGCAAGGACCUUGCUCAUCCUGACAUGACACAGAACAUCACUAUGACCCACCUAUUGAUGACGUCAUGCUACUUGGACUUGCUGAUCAGGGAGUGCCUUCAGCAGAAUGAUUUUGGUAACUUGGGACUCCCUUGGGGAAUACAGCCAUUACACUUUCCGUCCUGCUGUGUGGCAACACUGCUUCUGAUGUUUUCACAGGCCCUGGAUAUGGUAGUGCUGGGGGUUUUGUCUUCCCAACUUUUUAAACAUAACACGGAUGCUAUUUCUGGUAUCCAUAGAGGGAGCAGUGGGUUCAUUGGAAGUAUCUCAGGAGGAGCAUUUUUUCUAUAUAGAAAAGAGAGGAUGAGAGAUUCCUUUAAGUUCCAAAAACUGGCAUAAAAUUGAUUAGUUAAAAAAAAGUGCUAUUUGUUCCUGUAUAAUUUAUCUGACCACAGAACCGCAUUCAGCAAAGGGCACCAUGACCUCUUCGGGGAAAUGGAGCAACCUGAACACCUGAUUCAAAUUUUCUGGCCUGAAGGCAACUCCAGUAGAUGACUUCUGUCUGUGGUGAUGUAUAGAUCGAAGGACAACAGCAGCUCAUUAAGGGAGAAGUAUCAAGAGAAUGAAGAAUACAACUUUAACAAUGGCGAAAGCGGAGUCUCAAACUGCUGACCUUCAGGUGUAUUUUCUUGGGCACUAUCAUGGCCAUGAGAAUGGCCUCACAUCUCUCAUGGCGGGGGCCGUAAUUGACCUACAGCCCCAGCUGCUUUGUUCUGAAAUCCAUCACUUGUUGGCUCUGAGGUCACACUUCCUAUGACUGAGCAAGGCGGAUCCUGGCAGAUGUAGCCAUAGCUCGCCUGGGGACAGGAUCUGCUUCACUGAUGGGCCGCUUUGGAAUUUAAUGGGCUUCUGUGGAACAUGGACUAUAUUUUCCUGGAAAAUGGAAUAUGAAAAUAGCGGACAAUUUC
Molecule: long non-coding RNA, 1584 nt
Organism: Equus caballus (horse)
Lineage: Eukaryota; Metazoa; Chordata; Mammalia; Perissodactyla; Equidae
Source: Ensembl